This 468-nucleotide ribosomal RNA is filed under the name uncultured bacterium. RNAcentral describes it as "partial 16S ribosomal RNA". It matches the Rfam family "Bacterial small subunit ribosomal RNA", at positions 28 to 507 of the family's 1533-position model. The record is from RNAcentral.
GACGAACGCUGGCGGCGUGCUUAACACAUGCCAGUCGAACGGACAGGCCCUGCUUUUGUGGGUUGCUCGAGUGGCGAACGGGUGAGUAAAACGUGAGUAACCUGCCCUUGACUGUGGGAUAACUUCAGGGAACUGGGGCUAAUACCGGAUAGGAGCUCCUGCUGCAUGGUGGGGGUUGGAAAGUUUCGGCGGUUGGGGAUGGACUCGCGGCUUAUCCGCUUGUUGGUGGGGUAGUGGCUUACCAAGGCUUUGACGGGUAGCCGGCCUGAGAGGGUGACCGGCCACAUGGGGACUGAGAUACGGCGCAGACGCCUACGGGAGGCAGCAGUGGGGAAUAUUGCACAAUGGGCGGAAGCCUGAUGCAGCAACGCCGCGUGCGGGAUGACGGCCUUCGGGUUGUAAACCGCUUUCGCCUGUGACGAAGCGUGAGUGACGGUAAUGGGUAAAGAAGCACCGGCUAACUACGUG